RNA transcript from Quercus lobata, 1914 nucleotides. It is a transcript of the gene named FGGY carbohydrate kinase domain-containing protein-like, with no coding region annotated. NCBI's taxonomy places the organism in Eukaryota, Viridiplantae, Streptophyta, Magnoliopsida, Fagales, Fagaceae. The record is from RefSeq and is a predicted model, not a curated record. The transcript has 6 exons.
CUUCUUUCAUUAUUGCUAGUUUUUCUUCAUCAUUUCACCUUCUCAGCUAUUUUCUCCUCCUCUCCUCUUUUUCCUCUCCCUUUUUGUUUCACAAGUCACACCAUUUUUGCUUCAUCUUGCUCUUCAAUUUUAUUUUCAACUUUUCUAUCACGGUUGAGAGGGUGAGAUAGUGAGAGAUGAUAGAGAGACGAGAAACUACAAGUGCAAAAAUGUGAUACUGAUGAGAGAAUGAGAAGGAUUAUUGGGGAUCUAGUGAAAAAGAUGCCGACCAAGUUCAGAAAGUGAAAAUAAGCAGCCAAAAUUCAUACCGGCCGGAAAAUGAAUUUCGGCCAAUUUCGGUUGACCGGAACGGGCCGAAAUGGGGCGAAAUUUAAUCCGAGGUGGAAUGGAGGGUAUUCCGUUUUACACACCGGUACGAUAUAUUCCGGCCGUUCCGGCGGAAACGGAACGGAAUCCAUAUCAUUGGUUACUGGGGACUGAGGCUUGCCGCUCUUGAUGGGAAAACAAGGCGGAGUUAAUUGGCAGCGUCUACCAAAGGUGAAAGAAAAUUUGCAAGUAUCUUGGUCAAUGGUGUUUUGUUGGAUGGAAUUGGGUGAUUGGCUGUCAUACAGGGCAAAAGGAGAUGAUACUUUAGUCUGUGCACCGCGGUGUGCAAAUGGACAUAUCUUGGUCAGGGAUAUAUGCAGAAAGUCAAUGAAAAAGAUUCCUGAGAUAUGGAAGCUAGUGGAUGGGAGUUCAGGACAGCUUAACAUGUAGCAUAUAUGAAAUAUAAUUAUUUUCUUGAAUGGGUCUUCUUUCUUGAUUUUUAAAAACUUAUACGUAAAUUUUGAGUGUAGUAAUUAAUAGCAAUAACCUUUUAUUGCCUGGUCAUUAUAAAAAAUUUUAUUUUUAAAUUUUAAAUUUCAAUUUUAAUUAUUUAUUCUACCCUUUGCAUUUUCUGCUGCAGUUUGUGACUUGGUAAUGAAUAAUGUCAACAGGACUGUGUAGCUUUUCCUGACCAUCUUUUGGGUUCUGGUCUUACUCCAGCUGCCGUGAAGGCAAGAAAUUUUGUACUGAAGAUUUCACAUUGAUUUACAGUGGCAUGACUUGAGGUCCAUUAGCAAAAAAACAUAUUUAUUUAGUUGCAAGAAAAUAUGAGUCACACUAUUUUCCUGGCCUUUGGAACUGGGUCUUGUAGCAGGAAUUCAUUUUGAAACUUCACUGAUUGAUGCUCAUGCUGGUGGCGUGGGGGUAAUGGAAAGUGUGCCACAUUUGGAUUCUGAAGCUAGAGAGUGUGAUAUGGAAGCUAUAUGCUACCACAUGGUGUUAGUCUGUGGAACUUCUACCUGCCAUAUGGCCAUAUCAAGGAGCAAGUUAUUCAUUCCAGGGGUCAGGGUACCGUUCUGGUCUGGUUGCCUUAUAAUUGUUCCACCAGGGAACAAGUUUGUGCUUUUGGGUGCUGCCAUUCUCGGAUCUUGGUGCAGUUUCUGCAAGGAAGUUUUAAAGUCUGAAUGAGGUCAUGAGGGCCAUGAAUGCAGCUGGUCAGGUAUACAAAAUGGUUCUUUUACUAUCAUUUUUAUUCUUUAAUUCAAUCCUAUUUCUUUAAAUUCAAGAUGAGGUGAGAAAGGUGUUCAAACUCGGCAAGGGACUUGAAUGUAGUUCUGGAGUAAAACCUUCCUCAUGGUAUGCUAUUCCAUAUAGAUGGAAUCUUCAUUGUGUUUGGUCUUGAUUUGGAAGCAGGACCUCAAAAGGUUUUGAUAUGUCAAACUUGCACAAAUAGCAUGGUAUCAUCUCAGAUAUUAUGUUUACAAUGCUUUGUUUAGCGAGACUGCAUAUGAGGCCUAGGCUUAUAUUUUCUCCAAGAUUGACCUUGGUGUAAGUCACUUCCUUUUUUCUUUUGUGAGUUUUGGGGAUAUUCCCAUUAUUUUUUAUUUA